Molecule: long non-coding RNA, 336 nt
Filed under: Lathyrus oleraceus (garden pea)
Lineage: Eukaryota; Viridiplantae; Streptophyta; Magnoliopsida; Fabales; Fabaceae
Description: Pisum sativum (pea) long non-coding RNA (PSAT_LNC031713)
Source: RNAcentral
UGAAUGUUUGCUCUACUGACAGCUAAAAAAGAAAUAAAUAAAAGGAAACAAAAAAAAAGAAAGAAAAUGAAAAAAUACUGUAAUGCAAAAGGAGAGUCGUCGUCCUCAUCUCGCUCUCUCGCUCUCUCUUCUCCCAAUCUCGCUCUCUUCUCUCAAUCUCUCUCAACCUCACUCAAUCGCCCUCAAUGAAAUCUCUCUCUGCUCUCGAAAACGCUCAUCAACACUCACAAUCUCACUCACACCAAACCUCACAUUUCUCUCACCAAAAUCCUCUUUCAAUCGCGUCUCUCCUCACAUCCUCAACCUCAUUCCCAAAUGCGCAAUACCCACAGCUUU